RNAcentral lists this unclassified non-coding RNA (361 nucleotides) under fungal sp. Its description in RNAcentral is "partial internal transcribed spacer region". The record is from RNAcentral. Lineage: Eukaryota; Fungi.
AAGUCGAAACAAGCGUAGGUGAACCUGCGGAAGGAUCAUUAACACGUAUCCAAACGUUAACUCCCCUUGUCAGAGGCAAUCCCUAGUAAAUCAUCGCCGAACAGUUUUCGAUUUAGGGACUUCCACAAGGAGUGUGCUCGUAGCGCGAGGCAAGUGGCCUGGCAUUCCCAAGCAGUUGGUGUCUGAAAGUGUCACUGGCUGUGUAAGGAUGGCGCAGUCACGAUCGUUGGAGGCCGACACGACCGGGUCACCGGGCUCACGCCCCUUAAUCACAACUUAAUGCAUGUCAGACGCGCCUGCGCUUAAUUGUGCGGCGACCAUAAAACUCGAACAACUGUUAACAAUGGAUAUCUUGGUUCUC